Long non-coding RNA from Raphanus sativus (radish), 340 nucleotides. RefSeq lists it as uncharacterized. The transcript has 2 exons. Lineage: Eukaryota; Viridiplantae; Streptophyta; Magnoliopsida; Brassicales; Brassicaceae. The record is from RefSeq and is a predicted model, not a curated record.
AGAGUUUCAUUGGAGAUGCCCUAACCGUUCACCACAAACACAUCAUCUUCUUUGCUUUCGUGAUUAACAUUUAUGGGUUCCUCUCUCUCUCUCAAAUCAAACAAUUUUUAUAAGUCAUGAUGAUGAAUUCUGUUUCUUCGUAUGCAGAAUUUCAAUGAUUAUUAAGGUAUGCAUCAGAUAAAUCUGACCAGAUGUUUUUUUAAAAGAUCAAGAACGUCUGGAAAUAUAAGAAGAGACGAUGGAAACUGAAAUCUAAAAGGAAAAGUAGAAGUGUCAGGAAAUCAAGGUUGAAGGAAACAGUUUUGUUGAAGAUUGAUGAUGAAAAGAGAGACAUAGAGAA